AUGUGGGAUGAGGCUCUUAGCCACUAUGCUAACACUGUGGUAGCAAUGUUAGAUAAGGCUGGUUAUAAUGUGGGAUGAGCCUCUUAGCCACUAUGCUAACACUGUAGUAGCAAUGUUAGAUAAGGCUGGUUAUAAUGUGGGAUGAGCCUCUUAGCCACUAUGCUAACACUGUAGUAGCAAUGUUAGAAGAUGCAGGUUAUAAUUAUGUGGGAUGAGGCUCUUAGCCACUAUGCUAACACUGUGGUAGCAAUGUUAGAUGAUACAGGUUGUAAUAAUGUGUAAUGAGGCUCUUAGCCACUAUGCUAACACUGUGGUAGCAAUGUUAGAUAAGGCUGGUUAUAAUUAUGUGGAAUGAGGCUCUUAGCCACUAUGCUAACACUGUGGUAGCGAUGCUGGAUGAGUCACAUGCCAUCCGUUAGACUCUCUGGUCUAAAGUCUUUAUCUUUAGAGAGAGCAAGAGCUGUGAGUCAUCAGGAUAAGUGAUGAGGUGUUUUAAGAUAUAUUUAAGUGAUGAGUGAAUGGUUAUAAGAGGUUAUAUCUAUAUGUGGGAUUAUAAAUGUAGCUGGUGUUAAAGUUAGCUGGGCGUGCGGUGGUGUGUGUGUGGUUUAUUCAGGGUAUUUCUGAGGAAAUGCGAUGCAAAGUUGGUGGUAUUUCACUGAAUUUGGCUGAAUUUGGCUUUUACACAGUUUACUUACUGAAUAAAAUGAGCAGCAGUGAUGCAUGAUGGGUAAUGGAGUUUAUUUGCUUAACUGUGUCUGAUGAUAAUGUACAGAAUCUACUAUAAAGAAUAAAAAGAUGCUUUUUUU
Molecule: long non-coding RNA, 806 nt
Organism: Astyanax mexicanus (Mexican tetra)
Lineage: Eukaryota; Metazoa; Chordata; Actinopteri; Characiformes; Acestrorhamphidae
Exons: 2
Source: RefSeq, a predicted model, not a curated record